Molecule: ribosomal RNA, 495 nt
Filed under: uncultured bacterium
Lineage: Bacteria
Description: partial 16S ribosomal RNA
Rfam family: Bacterial small subunit ribosomal RNA
Source: RNAcentral
GACGAACGCUGGCGGCGUGCCUAAUACAUGCAAGUAGAACGCUGAAGGAGGAGCUUGCUUCUCUGGAUGAGUUGCGAACGGGUGAGUAACGCGUAGGUAACCUGCCUGGUAGCGGGGGAUAACUAUUGGAAACGAUAGCUAAUACCGCAUAAUAGUAGAUGUCGCAUGACAUUUGCUUAAAAGGUGCAAUUGCAUCACUACCAGAUGGACCUGCGUUGUAUUAGCUAGUUGGUGAGGUAACGGCUCACCAAGGCAACGAUACAUAGCCGACCUGAGAGGGUGAUCGGCCACACUGGGACUGAGACACGGCCCAGACUCCUACGGGAGGCAGCAGUAGGGAAUCUUCGGCAAUAGACGGAAGUCUGACCGAGCAACGCCGCGUGAGUGAAGAAGGUUGUCGGAUCGUAAAGCUCUGUUGUAAGAGAAGAACGAGUGUGAGAGUGGAAAGUUCACACUGUGACGGUAGCUUACCAGAAAGGGACGGCUAACUACGUG